RNAcentral lists this long non-coding RNA (21886 nucleotides) under Setaria viridis. RNAcentral describes it as "long non-coding RNA (SVIR_LNC001586)". The record is from RNAcentral. Lineage: Eukaryota; Viridiplantae; Streptophyta; Magnoliopsida; Poales; Poaceae.
GAGGUCGCGACACACCUGAGCAGGGAGCGCGUGCCAGUGCCACCACCCAUGGCGAGCACCAACAUGGCCUCGGCCACCUCGCGGUUCAUGCUGGCUGCCGGCGUGCCCGCCACCGGCAUCAGCGGCAACGGCAGCGGCCGCGUCAGCUUCGCGCCGGUACCAAACAGGCUGGGCAGGAGGCUCGUGGUGCGGGCCGAGGAGGAGGCCGCGGCACCGGCCGAGCCCGCGGCGGAAGGGGAGGGCGCCGUGGCCACCAAGACCAAGGCCGAGAAGCCGCCGCCGAUCGGGCCCAAGAGGGGCGCCAAGGUUAAUUAUAUUAGUACCAUCAUCCGUGUGCUCAACUGCUGGUGAUGCAAUCCAUUGCUUAAUCUCACUCACUCUCCAAUUCUUGUGCUGAUCGCCAGGUGAAGAUCCUGAGGAGGGAGUCCUACUGGUACAACGGGAUUGGCAACGUCGUCACAGUUGAUCAGGUUACUAUUCUUACACCACCCGAAUCAAAGGCCCCUCAGUAGACUACAAGCUAAGAGUGUCAUCGGAAAUUCUAUAGCAUAGGGACUAAACUCAUUACACUCCUAGAAUAACUCUGUUUCAGCUGUUCAAUUCUUGUAGCAAUGAACCCAGAAAAGGCGAUAAAAUUGAGCAUUUGAUUCGUUUGUGCAGGACCCCAACACCCGCUACCCGGUGGUUGUGCGGUUCAACAAGGUGAACUACGCCGGCGUGUCCACCAACAACUACGCCCUGGACGAGAUCCAGGAGGUGAAAUGAGAGAGGCUGGCUCAAGGGCCUCCGUGCUCCCCUGUGGUUGGUAGUUGCGAAAUGAGGGAUGUGAAGCUGCUGUGGUAGCGUCACAACAUCUUGUGUGUGAUAGCUUAAUCUCUGUAAUCAUUAUGUAAUUGCUUUGCUGCUUGCUUCACCGUGGACUAAAUAAUCUCCUGCCCUUAAAUUGUUGUAUUCUUUUCUUGUCAUUUUGUACAUGCUCAUAAACCUCUUCCCUAUAGCACCGUUUGCACGAUGCUGGAAACUCAAUUCAUAGUAGCUGUAAGGGUUCGUACACCAUCUCAGGCUUUGGCUUUGGUAGAGCUUGGUGACCAGCGUUCAGUAUUAAAGACCAUGGUACAAAUUGAGCGAUAUUACAACACCACCAAAUUACUCCUCCAGUUUUUACAUCUGCUAGUUUCAGCUUUCACAUAGCAAUAAAAAAAAAUAUAGCAACCUACUCUAAGAUGUGUGUGACAGCAUUAAUUACUGCCUUCUGGAACAGGUCAAGCCCGAGACUUGAAAAUUUUCAAAUGCUGCCAAACCACUAACAUUGAGUUUGAGGUAGUUCAGAGUGUUCUUCACAAGUUCCUGUUACACCUGCCAGAAUGUUCAGACUCUGAAGACCCUGCCCCUCAUGGAUGUCUCUCUUCAAAAGUAGGCAUAAACAAAGAUCCGCCACUCAUCCGAAUCAAAACUGCUAUCAAAACUGAAAGCUUCACACAUGCGCACUGAUCCAUUGGUAACGUUAUCCAGACUAAAGUUAGGGACUUCAUACCAGAAAUUAGCAAUCGUCGCUAUACCCGAGGCCCAUAGACAGCCUACAAGUCAUUGCCUGGUCAAAUCAUGUAUCAUCCUUGCUGGAAUGCUUAGUCGCAAUAUAGUCUAAUCACGGAGUCAGCACCAGCAGUGAACAACCAAGGCUGUUUUGGAUGGAACUUGCAGUCUAAAACCCCUGCAAACCCAGAAAAGUGGUCAAAUAUUGCCUUUGAGAUAUCUGGAGAGCAACAUAGCGAACCUGUAUCAAUGUAUAAAUCAGAACCUAACAAAAUAUCUCUAUUCCACAAAAAUUUAGUAAGUUCACGGUUUGUCAUGCCGUGCAUGUCGUCUUUGCACUCAGAGUGAUGCACCCUCCCCCCUACCCACAAGAAAACUAAUGGCGCUCGAUCCAAUUGACAAAGAUUAGUAACAGAUGCAACUAUUUUAAUCUAACAAGAAUUACAACUAUAUUAAUUCUACAAGUUUCCCUACAAAACAGAACCAUAUGUAAUGCAGUAGCCUCAUAGCUGGGUUUAAGACCAGUAUCUGAACUGCAGCAAUGAAGACGAGAAAAAAUCUACGCAUGUGAACAAAAAUCUAGAUGAAAAGAUUGAAAAUUAUUGAACCAAUGGCAUGCAUACCUCUUCCAUCUGAACUAGAAUGGCCACGAAGAAUUUCCAAUGGUACAAUAAGUGGGUUCUGGUUAAGAUCAGAAUAGACCAUUCCAUGACAUACAUAGGCAGUACAAUCCUCGGAGGAUGAGGCAAAAAGAGGGUACUUUCUGUGAAAAGUAACACUCGUAAUAUCCUUCGAGUGGGUCCUGAAAAUUAGCAAAUAAGUUACCGGAAUUUCUAAAUGAAAAAAGCAGCAACAGCAUCAAAGACAAGAUUGCCAAAUAGAACUGUGGAAAUUUUACAUCAAAAGAGAUUACUUUGACCUUCACGAUGCAGUGGACAAAUAAAAGAUGUUGAUUGACAAUUGUAAGAGUGCAAGCAGUAACCACACCAUCCAGGCAGCAAAACACCAUGUUUUACCAACAUUGCAACAGAUUUAUCAAUAUAUUUGGACAGAGGAAAUCAGGAUCACCACACAUCCACAUGGGCAAUCUACACUUAUUUAAAGGACGUGGAACACAUGAAAAUCAGCUUAUAAGAUGCAUCUCAAUAUUCAUUUCCAUUAUUUUUCCAGGAAAAUGGAAUUCCAGCAUCCAUACCCAUAGGAAGGUUCAUAUACCAUGCAAAGAAUUUAAGAGUGCCUAUAUUGGUAACCUUGGCUGCAUAUAGAGAUCUUGAAAAAUUACAUCUUUUUCUUUCAAAGAAAGGGGAUUAAAAAGAGAAGAAUCAUACUUUAGAGUCUUGUAUGGUCGUGUAGAUAGGUCAGUAUCAAACCAGCAUAGUUUGCCAUCUUUGCUUCCCACAAUAACAUUAUCACCUACAAAAAAGAAAUGUGAAGUAAUCACAAUACUUAUAGAGUCAAAUUAAUAUUAACCUACCAACAGGUACAAUCAGUUCGAAGCAAGUCCUUGGAAAAAAUUCAAAAUUCAAAAAAAUUACUAUCAAGCUGACUUGUGACCUACCACCAGGAUGGAUCGAGAUAGAGGAAAUCUCACGAAGACCUGACUCCAGUUUCUUUACCAACUGUGCCUUUUGGAGAUCAUAAACCUGAAUGAACUUCUUAGUAGCAACAAAGAACAUCUUCUCACUUGGAUGGAAUGUUGCCGCAACAGGAAGGCCUGGCAGUUUACGGAAAGGAUGGUGCGAGUGCUUUUUCGAGAGCUGAUGCAACAAUACAGCUUUUGUAUUGCGUACAAAGGAAUUAAGGUGUACAACUGGAUGGGUAAAUUAAAGGUGCCAUAUCAUUGGCCCACAACAUUCAAUGUGACCAUGCAUGUGAACAUAACUAAAAGUACAUAGAGAGGGGCCACACUUAGAAAGAAAAAUAAAACCAGAACAUAUGGAAAUAAAACAAAAUCAAUAAACAUGAUUCAUAAAGGAUAUCACUAGGCACAACUGUGGUAAAGUAAUCUCCCUUAAAAUGCCAGUCCACAUUUGACACAGCCUAAACAAGAAAUAGAUUCGUAAGCAAGCAAAACAAGAUAUUAAGUUCAAAGGGAAACGAAAUUUAAGUAAAAAUCUGGUACGAGACCUUAUGAUGAAUCAAGGUGAUUCCAUCCAGUUUUUCGUGCUUCAUCCACCUCACAGCUGGUUUCUUACCAUCUGCAAUAUAAUAAUAUAAUAGUGUUUCAGAAGACGGAAAAAGGCUAUACAAAGGAACCAUUGAUUGUCUAACAAUUCAACGCACCAGUAUCAUCUUGAGGAACCAUUUCGCCAAUUUGCAGGAGCUCUUUUGCCCUAAUUUGCACUUCUUCACUCCCCACCCCAGCAUUAAUAAGUAGCAGGUCAUGUUCUCUGCGCCAAAUAAAAUGAGUGACAAGAAUAAUUAAAGCUUACAGAUAGGAAAUAUGCUAGAAUAUCAAAAUGCUUACACAAUAGCAGCAAGAAUAGGCCUGUCAGGUGCAGGAUUCCAGGCAAUAUGACAGACAUCACCUCCGACAUUCCAAACUUUAAGACAGCGACCAGUUUCAACCUCCCAAACACGAAUUGUACCAUCGGAAGAACCUUCAGAAAAGGAGUAAUUGUCACUUGACGUUGGCACACUCAGGUUUAUGAAAUGAUCUUCUAAAGCAGAGAAACAGGCCCGCGGCAAUUAACCCUAUAUGCCACAGCUUACCCAAUAUUCCAUGUGUACCCAAGCACAGCCCUCGAUUUUAGGGGCAUCUUAGCAAUUGUAGUCAUUUUUCAAAAGCAGCUUUGAUUUACUAGUUUUUGCAUAUCAUACUAAUAAAAUUUAUCCCCCAUAUAAGAACUAUCUGACUUGAUUAAGAACACAGGUUUUGUUUAGUAGUUAGAUUAUGAGAAGUUUCACAUCCAUUCCCAUGUGAAUUCAGUAACAGAUGAUCUCCACUCCUUUCUAUAUAAAAGAUAAAUUAGAUCUAGAUUUCCCUCCCAACCAAGCUGACCUAAAUUCUGAACUUUUUUUUAUGUUACAAUGAGGAAACAACUAUAAAACUAUUACUUUUGCGAAAGAAAUAGUGAGAUGUAGCUAGUGCUGCUAUUUUUAAGUGACGAAUUGAAAUAUGGAAGAAAAAAAUACUAUGCAGCGCAUUAGCUAAUAUCAACUCAAUUGAGUAUCAGACCAUUAUGUGCAUGUAUAAUCAGAUAAAUACAGAAAACAACAUUAUAAAAAAAUAUAGAAAAAUAUCAACAGUACAUACCAGAUGCAAGCCACUGCCCAGUCAUUUCAACUGAAACUGAUUUCACAGGACCCUCAUGGCCCUUGAACUCAAGGUAACAAGUUUUUGGGUAUGGCCUCAAAUCCUUUUUACUUGGUAACUUGGGCUUGAGUGACUCAGGAUCAAUAUUUAUCUAUGGAGUUGUCAAAUAAUUGGCCCAAAUUAGAGACAAAUAGUGUCUUUCAAAGAAAUAGGUGGUAUGAAAAUAACAUAUGAGGCUCUACUUACACGCUUUUUGCGGGUUCUAGGGCAUAGAUACAGAUCUAGACAUCGAUCAAAACCUUCCCUCAGUGCCUUCUCAUAUGCAGGUACACUUCGAAGGGACUCAAAUCUGGUGAAGUACACAACUUAAAUGUCAAAAUAAUUUAGACAAUACAAGACAAUGGACAAGGAAAAGGAACAAUGUCAAAUAUAAUACCGUUUUGGAAUAAACUUUGGACGAUCCUCCUCAUACAUAAGCUGGUAUGAAUCUAUUUCCUCUUGCGUGGGAAUGUAUUCAACAGAAGGAUUAUAUGACUCUUCAUGACCUGAAUACACCAUGAAGAAUGAAUAGAAAUUUAAAAACAUAUACAAACACUCAGUGAAAAUAUGUUCUAACAAUUUAUGAAUGAUUAUUAUAGAAGUGACUAAUUCUGAAAAAGGGUAUGACAAAAUACCUGGUAAAUUAGGUUUAGGAGCUGGAAUGUAGCUCAAGCCUUGCCGCUUAUUAUCUGCUGUAUCAGUUUCAUCUCCCCACAAUAGAUAUAAGUUAGUUUCCUCCUUUGGCUUAUCAAACUUUAUCCAUCCAUUACGAAUGGCUCUUACAAGUUUAACAACCUGCCACCAGAACACAUGAGCUCAAAUUUCUGAGGGAAGGUGCAAAUGACUUCAGAUGCAAUACACAGUUCAAGAGAGAAUAUCCAAAAUAAGUCAACACAAAAUUUGUCCUGUUCAAACAAAAAAGAAGCUACACAACAGAAUAACAGUAAGUUAUGUCAGUUCACAAAUUCACUAGUGAAUCAUCACUCAAUCACAACACUAGUGAAUGCAUAACUCAGUCAUAAUACUAUUAACUGUUACUUCCUAAAUAUGUGGUAUUUUCAAAGAUGGGAGGCCCUAGCUGGUCUCCAGCAUGUCAUGUCGAAAGGAAUUGAUCCCAAACAAUCAGGCUCAACUCUAACUAAAUUAGAUACUGCUGUUGAUAUUAGAAGAUAAGAUUACAAUUAAGAAUGGACAAUGAAAUGAUCCAGUUCCACCCCUCACUAGCCAUCUAUUUCAUGGGUUUUCAACCAUUAAUAGUCUACCCUCUCAUCCCUAGCCGCCGCCACCACCUGGAAGCCUGUCAGGUGGUGUUUAUCCUGUUAGAUCCAAGGAUUAAUAAAGGCUGCCAGCUAACAAGCAGAUGCUUAGGCACUGCCUAGGCAACCAAAUACCUUCCAGGCGACAGGGAGUGAUGUCAUGUGUGACUAUAUUCUUUUAAAUUUUUUCUUUGUGUAAUUCUAUGCUAUUAAUAGACUUGGACCACCGGCAAGACAUGCGGAUUACCCCCAUAAUCAGUGUGGCAGGAAAUCAGAUUCACCAAGUGCCUAACCACUGCAUAGGCAAUUUUUAUUUUAUCAGCUAGGUGCCGAACGUUUGAAAUGCUGGAAUAAAAAAAUUUGGUAUUUAACGAAUUUGAUAUUUAACUCAUGACUAUUCAUUAGAUCAUGCUCAAUGGGGUCAAUUAUUUCAAUGAAUCAGUAUAUAGAGAUCUGGAAAGAACUCAGUACUAGAACAUUCAUCCAAGCUGUCAGAUCAAUAAAAAAUGAUCUAAUAUAACAGAAGGGAGAUGAAAUGCACAAUAUACCUUCUUCUGCUCCCACUUUGAAGGCACGAACCGCCUCUUUGGCUCAGGGGCACUAGAAAGCGGAUGACCUUUAUCCUCGUAUUCAAACCAAUCAACAUAAUCCUAACAAAUAAAAGUCAGUCAGUAUGUUGCAUCCAUGUAUUAUAAACAUAUGGACUGGAAAAAAAGGAAACCAGUGAACUGUAAAAGAACAAUUCAUUUGCAUGAAUCUGGACAGAAUUCAUUGCCACCAUGGAUAACAAAUUCAAAAUCAUGUAUAUCUGUACAGGUUAUUAUCAGCGAAACUAAGGUUAUUAUCAGAGGAAAAAAAGUUAUGCACUGGCCAUAUGUCAGCAAAGAAUCAGCCAGCAUUUUCGCAUAGUACUUAAGCUAAUAGCAGAUUGAGUUCUCAUUAAAGUUUUAAUGAAAUCACUUGCAUGUCUUUUCAGUCACCCACAAAGAUAAUAUUAGGCCACUUGAUCAUUUAUUUAACAUAUACACUUAGCACCUUGAUUAAAUAUAUAAUAGAUAAGGAUUGGAGUACACACUGGAUAUGGAUCAACAUUGGCAUGUGGAGUCCUUCCCUUUAAUAAUCUACUAAUUAUCUUAGCCUCUUCCUUUGUAAUCUGAACCUCCUCAUCAUUAUACUCAUCAUAGAUCUUUCUCCUACAUUUGGUGGGGAAUAAAAGAAAUUAUGAGGUUAAUUAAAUGAGCAAAAAAAAAAUCCAAAUGGUACAAGGUGUAAAGAUACAGAAAUGGUACAGGGUAAAACAACCAGAUACAUCUGUUAGGCAGAGGGAGAUACAAAUUUUCCAUAUUUUAAUAGUUAUGGUUUCAAGAGGUCCAAGCAUAUUCUGAAAGAAACCUAGAUUGUGUAUAGUCUUGAGCACUGAAUCAAAAUGAUUGUAAUAAAUUUGCUUAUUGCAUGUUCUUAGAAAAAACUAUAAAUGUACAGAAAUGACAUACAGCUAGAUUGAAUGAAAAUGAAUUUCAAGUUGCAAGAUUUAUAGAUGUACAGAAACGUCAGGUAACUAAGCCUUGUUGAUAGCAUUUUUUUUUCCACGAAUAUGCAGAAGAUCCACACAUCAUUGCAUUAAGUGAGAAGAAAGCCGAACAAAGUCUCACCAAGAACAUCGACCAACAACAGCGACCUUACACAAACAAAAACAAACAAGCAGGCAAUGUAUUACACAACCAAACAUACUGUUGAUAGAAAUGGAAAGCCCAAAGUUUUAUAUCAGGAUAAAAGUUUAAGGUAUGGUUCUUGGAACCCCCACACAGGAUGGACCUACAAACAUGUAGUAACUCUUUGGCUUUCAUCCUCGCUUCACCCCAAACGAUCAACCUAGAGCUGCUACAUUUUGAUGUUAAGUUUAUAUUCUCUAUUGCUCUACACGUCAAUACGUCAUAAAGCCUCAAUGGAUCUAAUCCCACUACUAAAACAUUUAGGCCACACAAACCACCGUAACUGGGCUGGGGUGCAAACAAGGAUAACCACUGAAAAUAUCAUAUAGAGUCCACUAUAAGGGUAAACAGAAUCUUUGGUAGAUGUCGCCUUCGAACAAACAAAGAUGAGAGCGGCACAAGUUAUUACCCCAACUAUCACAAUUAAUUUGAUGAAACCAGUUGUAGCUAGAUAAAAAACAAUCUUUAAUGUGGGAACUCUCAUGUAUAAGCCUAUAGAUGUUUUAAGUCUGCAGUCUCCAAGAACACAAUGUUGGCCAUAAAUUGUAAAUCCUAACACACUACAAAUACAAGGGAGCAAUUAGCUCGGCGAGACUCAAGAUGUGUAAAUUAGAAAAUAGCUUCCAACGUGAGCUUGAUAAGUUCCAGGGCAACUUGUCUGUGAUACGCUGAUGUUAUUUUUCACCUUACAAAAUUCCUGUGGGGUUACCAACCACUGAGCAAAUCAUCCCAAACAAUAAAUCUGUGGCAAUAUAAACAUGCACCAUUGCCAUGGGACCAUUAUCAAGCUUAAUCAUUCACCCAUUCAAUAGUUGUUCAAAUUGAUGAAAGCUGAUUGAGUGACUGCUACAGAGCAAGCUCAAGCUUUACCAAUUCUUAGCGUCAUCCGCGUUCCUGAGGUAGGCUUCGAUGCGGCCCUCCCUAUCGCGCUUCUUGAUCUUCCUCCCAUCAAUGUCGUACCCAAUGUGCUCCUCGUCCUUGUACCACUCCAGAGGCACGUCCCCCACGGUGUUCCUUGGCGCCACCUGCAAACAACAGUAACACGUACUCAGGCAAGCAAUACGGAGCAACGAUUCGCGGCUUAAGCAACUCAAAAACAGUAACAACAAGCUCAUUUUAACCUCAAAUACUCAAGCGAGCAACACGGAGAAACAAACCAGUCUGCGAAUCAGCAGCUUAACAACUCAAACACUGAGAAAGCGAAUGGCUCACCUCAUCCUCCGACGAGUCGCUCUCUUCUGCCACCGCCUCGUCGGACUCGGCGUCGGACCCGGAGCCCUCGCCGCUGUCCUCGAACGACACCGAGUCCUGCAACCCACGCCACAAAACCCUCAAAAUUUGCUCAAAAUUAGAACGCCGCAAGGGAAAAAAAUCGGGGACAAAGGCAUCAGAAACUCUCUCACCUCGCCGUCGUCCUCGGACCAGACGCCGUCGCUCCAGGAAGAGUCGUCGGCAGAUAGGUCAUCGCCCUCGUGCUCGUGCUCCCUCUCGUUGUGGCCCAUUUUCGUCGCCGGAAGGCUUCACGUGCUGUGGCGUCGUGGGAGAGGAGGCGAGGCGGAGGUGGAGGCGGCGGCGGGUUUGGGAGGGGGAUUCGCGGCGCGCUGCCGGCCGGAUGGACGGCAAUCUAGCGGCGGACCGGUUGUUUCAUGGGCCGGGACACUCUAGUUGUGAGACACACACAACUUCUCUGAGCCCUUCGGUAAUGGCCCCCCUCCUCAUGGGCCUGAAACGCAGGCCAAAAUUCAUAUCUAUAUUUGGGUCAGUAACCCGAGCAGUAAUUUGCAGAGUUCGGAAAGAACGAAUCCUACUGCAGUACGGCAGAAAAAAAUUUAAUGAAAAUGAUGAAAAAGGAAAAAAUGGACCAGAAUUCCAAGAAAAAAGAGCAGCAAAUGAAGUAGGAGCAUCUCUAGUUGUUUUCCAAUCCUCAUUAACCUCCAAUAUCUAUUUCGUCAUAUAGCGGAUGACCACAGGACCUUAUUUCCAAUAUCCCCCUAACAUGUGGGACCAACUCGUUAGCAGGUCAAUUUUUUUUACUUUCUCUCCUUUUCCUUGUUUUCUUUCUUUCUCUCCUCUCCCUCUCUCCCGCCUCUCUGUAAUCUUGACUAGGGAUGUACAGCCUAGUAAAGGAUGAUACUAGAUGGUGCGGGCACCCAUCCCCUAAAGGAUGAUACUAGAUAGUGCGGACACCCACGAGAGGGUGGCGAAACAUGACCCGUUAGGACAAUGGCGCGACAAUGGUGUGGGGCAGCUUGCAGCGGCAACGUGGGUAACAUUGAAGGGCGGGCUAGCAAAUGGGAGGACCGGCUUAGAAAAGAGUAAUAAGAGGGACGGAGGAUUGUCCGAUUUCUUUAUGUGAUAGUAAGUGGAUAAAUCAUGUGUUCUAGUUUCAAUUCAAACAAGGCCCCUAAAAGUUUAUGAAGCUUUGCAUCAAAAAAAAUAUUCUAAAGCCAAAACCAGCUCUUCCAAACGAUCGUCCUUGGCCAUGAGGUAAUCAAUGCGGGUACAUUUAAAGCGGCUGCAAGGUACAGCUUGCAGGCUCCCUUCUCAUGCUGUCUGCAUUUUAUUGUAGGCCCUGUUUAAUUCACCUCCAAAUUCCAACUUUGAUACUAUGAAAAAGAAAAUACCUCAUCACAUCAAACUUGCGGUACAUGCAUGGAGUACUGAAUAUAAACGAAAUUAAAAACUAAUUACAUAGUUUUGUUGUACUUUGCGAGACGAAUCUUUUGAGCCUAAUUAGUCAAUAUUUGGACAAUAAUUCACAAAUACAAACGAAACUACAGUAAUUUUGGUUGCCUAAAGUUAGGCACCUAAACAAGACCGUAGUUUUGGUGCUGGCGAGCUGCAGCUGCAGGCCUGCAGCGCAGCCCAAACAGUCCACGGGAAGGCAGAGUACCUGAACCUGCAAGACUACCCAAACCUGCUCCAGUGGUGGUUCGAAAUCUGACAACGCAGGCCUUGUUUAGUUCCUAAUUUGGGAGUGGUAAAAUUGACAUUUUACCAUAAAUGCGCAACUGUAGCGUUUCGUUUGUAUUUAUGAAUUAUUGUCCAAAUAUUGACUAAUUAGGCUCAAAAGAUUCGUCUCGCAAAGUACAACAAAACUGUGCAAUUAGUUUUUGAUUUCGUCUACAUUUAGUACUCCAUACAUGUACCACAAGUUUGAUGUGAUGGGGAUCUUCUUUUUGCAUAGUGUCAAAGUUGGAAGUUUGGAGGGAACUAAAUAUAGCCUAAAAUUGAGCACAGAAUCUCCACUCCAAAACUAGAGUGAACAUGCCCUCGUGCUCGUGCUCCCUCUCGUUGUGGCCCAUUUUCGUCGCCAGAAUAUCAGGGAAAUGUUUGACCAGAUACAGUGCGAGCGCACAGCUUCUGAAAAACGCUCUGGUCCAGAAGGAUGGGAAGCCGCCUUUGGCACAUCCGUGUCGACAAUAUUUGUUGGGCUCUCCAUUGUUUGAUUUGUCGUAGAAUCUUUGUUUGCCAAAUUCAUACAGUAGUCCAUGUAGUCUGGAUUCUGAGUUUUUGUUGCGGGUUAAUAGGUAAUUCUUUUUGUCAAGUUAAGCUAUGGUGAUGCUUCGACAUAUUUCAAGAACAAACUUUUUCAAAAUUUGCAGCAUUAUUUCAAAAUUUGCAGCAUUAUUUGGGGGCUUUAUUACUCAACUAAGUCUUACUUUAAAGUUUAAAUAUGUACUCCUCUCCUUUUUAAAAAAGAAAUUCGUAGAAGUUCCGAUUGUGCUUGCUAACUCUGUUUGCACUUUAAGCAGAAGCGAGUGUAGCAGUUGCAUAACCGAACAGAAGCGUGCCUUUGUCUUUUGUGUUGUACUAUUUCUUUUUCACAGUCGUGCAUAUCCCAGCUGACUUUAAGGUGCUCUUCUCUUACCAUUUUGUACACUUUCAUAUUUGUUUCUAUGAUGCGAAAGAAGUAUUGUAAAGAGCUGACAAAUGAAUUUCAAAUACAGGUGAAGCAAUCACUGUGUCAAAUAUUCCGAGCUAUUUUGGAAUAAAUUGUAUAGUCGCUACUGGCUAUCCGCCGAUCCCUACAUACGUAGGCCAUAAAUCAACUUAUAGCUUAAUUUAACGUGAAUACAUGUGUCCACAGUGUACCCGUACAACGUGUAUUUCUUUUUGAAAAAGAAGUGGCAGGAGUUCUGCCCUUCAUAUGUACUAAUAAAGGAGAAGAGCCAUGUCCAACAAAAUACAAGAGAGAGCCUAAGCUCGGUAAGAGGCCCAAAAAAAAAAACUAGUCACCCGCCCAAAAAAUACUAGAACAUUUGGCGUCCGCCAAGCACCAAGAGUAAAAGAUAACAAAAGCGUGAUUUGGACAUACAUGAUUUGGACCCUUGUGGUUGGAGUCAUAUGUACUGUGGAUGUGCAUCCACUUAUCAAGUUGCGCUCUUCUUUUGGGAUAAAUUACGAGUAAGGGUGUGGAGGUAGCAUUUAAUCAUUAUAUGGACCAUAAAAAUAAAUCUAUACCUAAUAUAUUAAUAUUAAAUGCGGUAGUUUUUUCCAACCGUCGUAAUCGUUUUGCAAAAAAGUUCCUGAUUUUUUUUCUUAAUCAACACGCAGUCCUAAUCAUGGAAGAAAUCCUACAUCCGUUCUGCACAGUUUCCCACGCGCAAAAAAAAUGGCUGCUGCGAAUUCCCCAUGAGGCGAGCGCUCCCCGCUCCUGGGCCUGGCUGCUGUGUGUGCUGCCUCCUGCAUAGCAAGCUUGGGCUGGCCUGCGUGAGUCAAGCCAAUCAGUGGACAAUAGCGAAUCGUAGCGAUCACAGAUAACAUCAUUACAGUCCAUGAGUGCAUGCAUUUUAUGAAGAAGAAGCGAGCUCAAGAUAGUAGGUGUUGUGCCCUAAAGCUGGAUAUGAGGAAAGCUUAUGACCGAGUAGAGUGGGAUUAUCUACGGUCAGUCAUGAUACGGCUUGGUUUUCACCGAACCUGGGUGGAGUCGAUUAUGAGAAUGGUGACCACGGUUUCAUUCUCGGUGCUUUUCAAUGGUGAACGGAUGGACUCAAGGGGUAUUCAUCAAGGGGAUCCAAUCUUUCCCUACCUCUUUUUGUUGGAAGCAAAUGGCCUUUUGUACAUGUUAAAAUCACGAGUUCAGUCAACGCAACUUAAUGGCAUCAAGGUGGCUCCAUCGACUCCGGUGGUGAGUCACUUACUCUUUGCGGAUGACAACCUGCCGUUCUUCAAAGUGAAUAGGGAGAGUGUGGAGGAAGUUAAGAACGUGUUACAAGUGUAUUGCAAGGCGUCAGGGCAGCAAGUGAAUAUGGACAAGUCAUCUAUACACUUUGCUAAGGGGUGCUCAGGAAGCUUAAGAGCAGAAAUAAAGAAUAUUCUAGAGGUUAAUAAUGAAGCUCUAAGUGAGAAAUAUCUAGGGAUGCGUACCAAUGUAGGCAGUUCAACAAAUGGUGCAUUUAAGUACCUGAAGGAUCAAGUGUGGAAACGAGUGCAGGGCUGAUGGAGCAGACGUUAUCGUCGGGAGGGAAAGAAGUGUUGAUCAAAGCAGUAGCCCAAGCUAUACCGACCUGCUUCAUGUCUUGCUUCAAGCUCCCGAGGGGACUGUGCAAAUGUAUUGAUGGGCUGCUUCGAAGCUUUUGGUGGGGGAGUAAGGAAGGGAAACGUAGGAUAUGCUGGGUAGCAUGGGAUGACAUAACUAAACCUAAAUGUGCAGGUGGCCUGGGGUUUAGGGACAUUGAAAUGAUUAAUCUAGUGUUGCUAGUGAGGCAAGCUUCGAGAAUUAUGCAAGAGCAAGGUUCACUUAGUGCAUGAAUCCUUAAAGCAAUCUACUUUCCUGAUGGAGAUUUCUUGGAUGCUGAAGUACGUGAGUCACCAUCAAGGGUGUGGCGAGCAAUUGUUGAUGGCAAAGAGGUACUCAAGCAAGGGAUCAUUCGUAGGAUUGGCAAUGGCGAGGAAACACAUAUCUGGAGCAUGAAUUGGCUGCCAAGGGACUGCAUGUUACGUCCUGUGUGUUGCAUCGGAAAUAAUCCUCCACAGAUAGUCAGUGAUCUCGUUGAUCAAAUAUUGGGGACUUGGAAUUGCCACAAGCUAAAUCUUUUCUUCACUCCGAUGGAUAUAGAAGUUAUCACAAAUAUCCAUCUUAGCUCAAAUGGAAGGGAUGAUUUUUGGGCAUGGCAUUACGAGUGGAUUGGCAUUUUCUCUGUCAGAUCUGCCUAUAGAAUGUUGGUACACAACAAAGGAGUUAUAACAGCUCUGGGAGGUCGGAUACACACGUAGUGGAGAAGGAAUGGACUGACCUAUGGAAGGUCAAGGUGCCAUCAAAGAUUCACAUGUUCUUGUGGAGGUUUGCUCGCCAUUCUAUCCCAACAGGUGACGUGCGCCACCACAGGAACAUGGCUCUGAACAGCUGUUGUGGUUUUUGUGGAGCUUUGGACUCAUGGAGACAUUCAUUGCUAGAGUGCAACAUGUCCUGGUGUGUCUGGGCACUGGAACACGAUGACAUUACAGAAGUUUUGGGUCAGAUUCAGAAUCAAGAUGCCCGAGGUUGGCUGAAGGAGGUGAUGGAGGUAUUGCCACAUGAUAAACUUAUACGGGUGUCUUUGGUGCGGUAAUGCUCUUUGGUGCCGAAAGUGACAGGUAAGACGACUUGUCCUAGUGGGAUAGCUGCGUUGCCUAGGACGAUUCCGUAGAAGGGAGAAUUCAUUGGGGUAAGCAUUUCAGUGAUGUCGAGGCCCAUCUUUCUUAGAGUCUUGGCGAAAAUGACGUUGAGUCCACUGCCGCCGUCGAUGAGUACUUUGGUUAGUCUGGAGCCUGCAACAAUUGGGUCUAGUACCAGAGGGAAACACCCUAGUUCUGAGAAGUUGGUCCAUUGAUCUUUUCUGCUGAAGGUAAUGGGUACCUCAGAGCAUUUGAGAGGUGUAGGGGUGGUUGGUUCGAUAGCUAUGAUUUCUCUGAGUACUAAUUUGUUGGAUCACUUGGAGGUAGUGCCUGGAAUUCCCCCGAAAAUGAUGUUGACAGUUUUAGACGAUGUCUGGAACUUGUCUUCGCCAUCUUCAAUUUCAUCCAUCUUGCCCUUGCCUUUGUCCUUAUUGUCGUUAUUGUUAUUGUUGUUGGUGGGAGGUUCUAGCAACUCUUGCAUUCGUCUGCGAAGGCUGUAACAGUCUAUUGCAGCGUGUUUGCUGUAUGGGUGCCAUGGACGUAUUUCAUUGAAUGAAGGGCCAUCAUUUCGUUUGUUUGGUCCUUUCUUGCUUGAGUUUGACAUUGCUGCAACGGUAUAGUCUGGUUUACGCUCUCAAUUUUGAUUGCCCGAGUAGUUGUUUCGGUGAUCGCCGUUGCGGUUUCUGUCUUGUUCUUGGUUGUUACCUUGGUUAUUGUUGUCACAUCCACAAUUGCGAUGUGAUUCGAACCUUUCGCAUUCCUUAUCUUCUUCAUAAACCUGUGACUGAGCCAUAAUUUUGAGUUUGACAUCCGCUGGGCGGCGUCUACCAAAGUCCUGGAACAUGUGUCGGUCCUAGAGGCCAUUUUAAAAAUAUUCUAUCACGUCUAGUUUUGAGAUGUCGACAAUUGUAGCCUUUUUGUUUAAAAAACGGCAUAGGUAGUUGCGUAGGGAUUCAUCCUUUUGUUGCUUAAUCAGAGCCAAGUCAAUUAUGUUGCCAGGGCGUUUCAUAGCUCCCGCAUAGUUGCUUGUAAAAUCUUUCUUUAGAUCAGACCAUGAGUCGAUGGAGUUAGGCUUCAAGGAUUCGAGCCAAGUUAGUGGCGUGGGUUCCAUGCAAACGGAAAAGUGGAUGAGCUUUGUGUCAUCGCUUUCGCCUGCAGCUUGGACUGCUAGUGAGUAGUAGCUGAGCCACUGAACUGGGUCUUGUUUGCCAUCAUGCUUAGUAAUGUCGAUUGGUUUGAAUUUCUCUGGAAGAGUAGUCUUCAUGAUUUGUCUUGUGAAAGCAGAAAAGUGGUCAUUGUCAUCAUCCUCAGCUUCAAGUUCACGACGGCGAUUGUUGAUUAUAUCUCAAGCAUCAUGGUUGUGAUUAAAUGUUUCUCGAAGAUCACUGAUGUGCGAGGGUUCUGGGUUAGCUUUGCGGUGACGUGGGCCUUUCGCGGAGGCUGUACGACUACCCUUAGUUGUAUCUCUGUUUCAUCUUGGAGCUUCGAGUACGCCCCUAUGUUGUCUUGGUUCUUCAUGUGAUUGGUUUGAGAGUCUUGCAUGGUCUCUACUAUCAUCAUGGUGACUUGGUUUGUGAGGUUCGGUUGGGAUUGGUGUUUCCUUAUCGAGGAGUUGGUAUGCAUGUUCUGCCAAGUAUGACAGGAGAUCGCUGUAUUUGUUUGGAGACAUUGACCGGGCGAUAAGGUCGAUAGAGGCAAUAGUGGCAAGUGGUGUGUUGUGUUCUCGUGUUUGUAUUGCUUCAAAUGCUCUGUCAAGGUUCACAAUGGGAACUCUUGCAGUUAGAAGUCGACGACGUUCCGCUCUUUGAGUGUUUCUUGCUCUUCUUUGAGUUCUCUGGCUGCUAGUUUCAUCCUCCGGGGCGUCAGCUGAUAAUUCAUCUUGGGAGACUUCUUCGAUUUGGUGUUCCCAUUGAGGGGUUGUUUGGUGUUGAUUGAUGAUUCUUGUUCCAUCGGCUGGUGAAACAACAACAAAGAGUUCUCCAUCCGAAGAGUAGCUUUCAGAGCUGGAUGUCAUGACUUCAGUGGAGCCAUCUUCUUCACGGAUCGGUGAGAGUGGAGUGCCCUCUUGAUAUGAGAGGAUAUCCAAGUGUGCGACGAGGCGUGACUCGUUGUCUUGAGCAAGAAAGGAUGGCUUCAUGCCCGGCCAGUAGACGAAUCUGCCUUGCAGUGUUGAUGUGAUUACCAGGCCCUGCUGCGGACCUGAUAAGGGGAGUUUUUCAAGAGAGUCCAAGUCGUGGUUCUCUGUUGACUCCAAUCCGUAUUGGACUUUGGAUAAAGCUUUUUGAUGAGUCGUGACCGCGUUUCGGAGUCCGAGCGGGAAUCGACUUGAAGUUGUAUCAUUUUCAUACGAUGGCUGAAUUGCCUGUCUGCGUGGACUAGUCCGAGUUGUGGUUGAAUCCAAGUUGUGGUCGAACCUGGUGUUAUUCAGAUAAAAAAAUUCAAGUUUCUCGACGAAAUCUUUUGCCUCAUGUCGGCGAGAGUUUCCGCCGAGAUGCUUCUUCUCUAGUUCUUCAAUGAUGCAAUGUUGGAAACCUCCAAUGCCGUCAGCGAUGCAGAGCCAAGAGCCAAAAAUGAAUGUUGCGGUCGCUUCAAACAUGAACGCUGGCUUAAUGAUAACUGGAGCCAUCGAUCUCGCGUGGAGAAUUCCUGCAACUUCCCCUACCUGGCACGCCAGCUAUCGGUGUUUUAACCCGGCAACCUAUCAAGGGAGGACCCGAGAUAGUGUUUUGGUUGGUGGGUGUUGCCGAAAUCAAGGAGUCGAUGGUGACGCAGGGACACGAUUUAGACAGGUUUGAGCCGCUAGAUCGCGUAAUAACCUACCUCCUGUGUGUUGUAUGUUUGUAUUCAUUUAAACCCUUGUUUUGAGGGGGUCCCUGCCUACCCUUAUAUAUUGGGGGAGCAGGGUUAUAGGGUAGUCUUUGGUACAAGAGUACUAGUCGGACAAGACUACAGAGUCCUACUAUAACUCGGCAGAGUAGUUUCCUUGUAUUCUGACUAGUCCUUCAGGAGUUCCAUGUAGUCUAUGUUGCCCUGUAGCGUAGUCUUCAUGUCCUGAUAUGUCUCGAGUGCGUCCCUUUGAGUGGGUCCGUAUAGAUCUUCUGGUGGGCCUGGGGGAUGUAUGGUCGACAACGGGUGGUUGUGAGAUUGUGGGCAGUAUGGCAUGCAGGGCGCAAGGCAAUUCAUUAGAAUAUAUUCCAAAGUCCGCUCUUGACAUAUUGUUUUAUGGAAUAGUUUAUAACAGAAUUGGAGAUGUUGAAAUCAAGCCCAAAGUCGCAACAACAACUGGAACAGAUUCAGAUUCUAAAGUGGAUACCCCCUCCACAUGAUUUUGCUAAAAUCAAUGUUGAUGCGGCCAUGUCCAAAAAUUUGAACACGGCAGCAGUGGCGCGAAGUGCUGUUGGUGCUUUUGUUGGAGCAUCAGGUAUGGUAGUGAAGGGGGUCAUAGGCGCCAAGAUAGCAGAAGCACUAGCAUGCAGGGAAGGCCUAGCACUAGUAAGCGACCUGCUCAUUCAGAAAUUCACGCUGGCGAGUGAUUGUGCUAGUAUUGUCAAGAAUCUCCAAGGGGCUGGCAUGGGUAGCUAUGGACAGAUCAUCCGGGAGAUCAAUGCAGGGAGAGGAAGAUUUGAAGCUGUUGAGGUUGUGUACAAAAGUAGAAGAUCCAACAUCGAUGCACAUGCGCUGGCUAGGAGCUCGAUUUAUAGUCAGGUCUGUAGACACACUACUAGAAAAAUCGCCUCUAGUACCGGUCUGUAACCCAACUGGUACUAGCAAUUCGGUACUAGAGGGGUCCUUUAGUGUUGGGAUACGAGGUAGGAUUCGCUAGCGCAAAUCAAAAAUUUCUACUGCGUAAACAAGGAAAACUGUCGUAUAUAGAUCACGGGAUUACCACUCGACGCACUGGUGCAGAAGAUGUAGAAUCGCGUCGGGGCAGCGAAGUCGAUCAGCGUAGUCGAACACGUAGUCGAUCACGUUGACGUUGAGCAGCUCCUCAGCAGCUCGUCCACAUGCAGCAAGGUCGUCCUCGUGCCGCGGCUCGUCGUCGGCUCAUUGGCGGCUCGUCGUGGUUCAUCAGCGGCUCGUCCAAGUGCUGCAGGCGCAACACCUCCAAUGUAUUCACACGUGCAGAGAGGAAGAGUCGCAAGCUGACCUACUAGACCGCGAGUUGCAACAGGCGAGGGCGUGGGAGGCGCGGCAGAUGUGUUUCGCCAAAAGGUGUAAACCCUAGGGUGCCCCCACCCCUCUAUUUAUAGAGGUUCCUAACGGGCCUCUGGGUCCGAGGCCCAUUAGUACUUCUAAACCUAAUCCAACUCGGAUCACAUCCGAAUUGGGCUUCCAGCCCCUUAAGUGUGUGACCCUAUGGGUUCGGAUAGGUAUAGACAUGGCCUGAGUACUCCUACUUGGCCCAAUAGUCGGUAGCGGCCUCUAGCAAGACGUGCCAACUCCUAUACGCACACGAAGAUCAUAUCAGACGAACCAUCACAACAUUAUGUACAUGCUAUUCCCUUUGCCUCACGAUAUUUGGUCUAGCUUCAAGCUGACCGCUCUUUCUCGAUCCUGUGAUUUGGAAUCCCUUUGUAGGUUAACUCUUAACCGUACGUAGCAUGACCAUGCAUUUUCGGAUCCGAUCACUCGACGAGCCCAGAGAUAUCACUCUCAGUGAGAGAGGGGCAAAUCCCAUCUUUAUUGACCAUGUCUCACAGCAUGCUUCUUGACAAACCCGAAAGCUACCUUUUUAACUACCCUAUUACGGUGUAGCGUUUGAUAGCCCCUAAGUAAGUCGAUCCACAUCUUGAGUACAUGCGACAAUCUCAGGUCUAAGGACAAAGCGUACAUGUUGUGUAGAGAGAGAACUACUUCUCGUGUUGAGUCAGUCCUAGCACAUAUCUCUACAUAUGCCUACAUUAUUAGUUUGACAUCUCCAUGUCCAUGACUUGUGAAACAUAGUCAUCAACUAAUACAUGUACUAGUCUAAUAUUCAUGUGUGUCCUCACAUGAACUGUGACUAGGGACAACUUUAGAAAAACCAUACAAGUAAAGAGUUUCACAUACAAUUCACAUAAUUGCAAAUCAAUUCAAGUAGCCUUUAAUGGAUAUUCAAGGAACACAAUAUAAAUCAUGGAUACAACUGGAAUAUCAUCAUCUCUAUGAUUGCCUCUAGGGCAUACCUCCAACAUUUAGUACCGGUUGAGAUAACCGGUACUAAAGAGUAUUAAAAAAUUAAAAAAAUGAAAACUCCCGCCGCCGGCCCUGCCCCCCACCGUCAGCCGCCGGCCCCACCGCCCCUCCACCCAAGCCCCUCGCUGCCGCCCCCUCCGCCAGCCCCACACCCUCGACAUCCUACCACCUGCCGCCUCCGCCGGCCCGCCCGCUCACUCCACCUUCGCCCCUCCCCUCCCCUCUGCCUCCGCCGCUGCCUCCGCCGCCUCCCUCCACCGCUCUGCCUCCACCCCGCCGCCACCUCACCUCCACCCCGCCAUCGCCACCACCACCACCUCACCUCGUCCUGCCUCCGCCUCUCCGCCUGCCCGCGCUCUGCCGCUCCUUGCCCAGCCGCACCUCGUCCCACUACGCCUCGCCGCCUGCCCUCCUCGCCCCACUGCUGCCACUCCUCGAUGGCCGCCGCCGCUCCUCGCCUCAGCCACGAGGUGAGGGGCGAGUGGAGGAGGAGGAAAGGGGAGGCUGGGGAGGAAGGGAGGGGGCCGGUGGAGGGAGGAGGAACUCCUGGUGCUAAGGAUCGGGUGAGAAGGAGGGGAAGGAGGAGGUGAUGGGGAAGGAGAGGAGGCACUGAGGAUAAGGGCGAGUGCGACGGGGCCGUUGGAAAUAAAAAAAUGUGACGCGUGGACGGAGGGAAGCUUUAGUACCACGUGGGGAGUCCACCCGGUAUUAAAGGGGCUCCUCGGGGACUAUUUCUUAGGCCUGGUACUAAUGCUAAUAAUAGUACCGAGCUAAAAAGUUACCGGUACAAAGCCACAGGACGAGAGGUCAUUUUUCUAGUAGUGACGUGUGGUUUCUAAUACCACUGGAUGGUGUUUGUAAUUCGUACUCCCAUAACUUUGAAUAAAGAAAAGGUGGAGAGAUCUAAAAAAAGCAGUGAAUCGUAGCGCCUGCACAGGCCAAAUUGGCCGAUGGUGCUGAGCGCCAGCAUAUCAUGUGAUGACAUCAUGGUUCCACGAACCCUUUCUGUGAUUUCUCUUCUAAUCUCCAAAAUAUAUGACAUAUCAAAAAAGUCAUCUCCAAUAUUGUCUAAAUUGAUCCUACUUUAUUUUUCAACAUAAUCAAAGAUGCAUCAUUUGUAUGAUUUCCCUUAUAUUUUCAGCAUUCUUUAGAGAAAAUGAGCUACUUUAGGGAUCGAAGAAGAAUAACGGGAAGAAAUCAACAAGUGCUGCCAGAUCAAAAAACACAAAAAUAUCCAAUACAUGAUGCAAAAAAGAAUUCGAUGAGAGGUCGGCUUUUAGCUUGGAGGGGACAACACCUCUGCCUAUACACUUUCUCAUCCUCAAGGUUGCUGCUACCACAAGCUGGCCAUGAUGCUUGCAGUUCUCCACUAACACCCAUCGCCGUUUAAGGAUGUGCAUGGGGCUCGUCCACGUUGGAGGCACCAAGCACUGCAAGCUGACCACAACCUCAUUGCAGGACAAGCAUGAGGCUAGAAUUGUGCUGGCUGCUGCCAGUCUUAAGAAUUUUGGCCGAAAUUUCGCGUAUUUCGUAAAAUUUUCAUCUUUUCAGUGGUGACCGAAAUCACUAUUUGCCUAAAAUUUCAUUCUCUUCAUCGAAAGGUUCACCUUUUAGACCAAAUUUUGGUCAAAAUUUCACGAAAUUCAAUUUUUUCACCAGGGACCGAAAAAAUCAUAAAACGAAAUCCUAAUCCCUGGCUGUUGCAUGGCGCCCAGCACGCAUUGCGCACUAACCUUCCAUAAUAGAUACGUUAUUGGAUGUGAUGGAAUCAUGUUGAGCAUUAUAGUGUGAUAAUAUAUGCGUAUAGCUUGCAUUAACCCGUAGCAACACACAGGCAUAUUUGCUAGUCAUUACUGGUGCACUUUUUUAGACAAUACUUCCUGUUCCAUAAUAUAGCUACAUUAAGGAUUUAAAAUUUACCCUAAAUAUAUCUAUGUUUAGAGUUCCUAGUUCCUAUCCCACUUACUUCAUGUGAACGAAUCAAAGUACCCCUUAUUACCCUAAUCUACCCUAGAGUCGAAUAACCGGUAACAAAGUGUUGCAAAGUAUUAUGGCCAAUGGGUUUCAUUUUAGCACAGAUGAAUUUUUUGGCAUAUGCACCUGUGCCAUGCAAAUGGAUGAAACAUUACGCCAGAAACGAUUUGUGCUGGCACCUUAAUUUUUGAGUGCUCGUGGGCAUGAAUGCCACCCACUAGCACAAAAGGUGCAAUGGCUAGCGCAUACGCCACCCGCCAGCACAAUAUGUCACCCGUUAGCACAAAUGCAUUUCAAUUUAUAUUCAUGGAGAGGGCCAAAAGUUUCAAACUAGCCAAAAA